Molecule: ribosomal RNA, 216 nt
Filed under: Glomeromycotina sp.
Lineage: Eukaryota; Fungi; Glomeromycota
Description: partial small subunit ribosomal RNA
Rfam family: Eukaryotic small subunit ribosomal RNA (bases 75-216)
Source: RNAcentral
GGGUCAGUAGGUUGGUCGUGCCACCGGUACGUACUGGUCUCACUGAUUCCUCCUUCCCGAAGAACCGUAAUGCCAUUAAUUUGGUGUUGCGGGGAAACAGGACUGUUACUUUGAAAAAAUUAGAGUGUUUAAAGCAAGCUAACGCUUGAAUACAUUGGCAUGGAAUAAUGAAAUAGGACGAUCGAUCCUAUUUUGUUGGUUUCUAGGAUUGACGUA